UACGGAGGAUGCGAGCGUUAUCCGGAUUUAUUGGGUUUAAAGGGUGCGUAGGCGGAACAAUAAGUCAGUGGUGAAAGACUGCAGCUUAACUGUAGACUUGCCGUUGAUACUGUUGAUCUUGAGUAUGGUCAAGGCAGGCGGAAUGUGUAAUGUAGCGGUGAAAUGCUUAGAUAUUACACAGAACACCGAUUGCGAAGGCAGCUUGCUGGGCCAUUACUGACGCUGAUGCACGAAAGCGUGGGGAUCGAA
RNAcentral lists this ribosomal RNA (249 nucleotides) under uncultured prokaryote. RNAcentral describes it as "partial 16S ribosomal RNA". It matches the Rfam family "Bacterial small subunit ribosomal RNA", at positions 524 to 772 of the family's 1533-position model. The record is from RNAcentral.